This is a long non-coding RNA of Anguilla rostrata (American eel), 2592 nucleotides long. RefSeq lists it as uncharacterized. Lineage: Eukaryota; Metazoa; Chordata; Actinopteri; Anguilliformes; Anguillidae. The transcript has 3 exons. The record is from RefSeq and is a predicted model, not a curated record.
AGAGCUAUCAAAAUAAGACUUUUGUUUUUAUUUGUCUUUUCAGAGCACAGGUGGCUUCUUGCCAUCAGUGUCAUGAUGCGUCAAGGUGUUUUUGGUAUUGCCCUCCACUCACCAUCGCCUGCGGACCAUCGCCAUGACGCUGCGAAAAUAACCUCUGUCCCAGCCAAUCAGAGGAGCAUGUGCAGAACACAAGCUGGCCUGGCAAAGCCACUCCAUCUGUAAUCUACCGCAGACCCAGCUAGCCGAAGGCUCGCUGAAGUCUCUCAGCGUAUUUAGUGUGUGUGCUGUGAUUGGAGACCACUGUGGAAUAACAACUGCGAAAACCACAAAAUACGCCUGUGGGCCGUCCUAUACUGCCCCAUCCCCGAUGCACCGAGAUCCAUGGUCUGCAAAACACCUUCAUCCCCUGAAUGGGGGAUGAAGUGGAGAAUGCACAUUUUUUUCUGUUGAUGUAAAUAUUCAUUUUGACAGUGAUCCUGACCAGAUCUGUGCAAACUCACUCCGUAGUCAGUCUGGCUUGUCCUCCGAAAUGUCAUGACAUCACAACUGGAGUUAUCACAGCUGUCAUCUGCGAAUCUUCCAUAAUGUAUGUUGAACGUGAUUUGUGAAGGGAUCCCAGUUCUGGUUCUGAAGUGUGGCAGUCUGUGACAACCCAACCACAGGUUUAUCUUUUCAUAUUAUUAUUAUUAUUAUUAUUAUUAUUAUUAUUAUUAUUAUUAUUAUUAUUGGGAAAAUACGGAACAAACAAACUUCCACCCUGUUUUCAGCAAACAUGUCAGGUUGGUUGAACAAGCAGUAAGGUAUGCGUUUUCAAGAGUCUCCAAAACGAUUGAAAAAGUAGAUUUACAGCUGCCCGUUCCUGUUACUGCAUGAGAAUGGAGGCACUGAAAGUGUACCUGCUCCUGUUGCAUGAUGGGAAUUGGGGGUUCCCAGCAUGCCGCAGGAAUGGCAGGGGAAGCCUGCCAUGCAGUGUCUCCUCUAACCUCAACAUCUGGCAUAACCACAGGCCCAGAGUCAGUGUUUCUCCACAUUACACACCUGGGUUCAAUUACCAUUUGCCCUUACCUUUGGCUUAAAAUGCAUGUGUUAAGUCCAGCGAUUAAACAGAAUGAACUGUGAAGAAGGAAAAAAAAAAAAAAAGCUAAGGUGCAUUUAUGUGUAUUGUAAGCCAAAGUUGAGGACAUGUGCCUAUAGAACCCUGGCUACAGUUAUCAAAUUGUAUAAAAAAGUUAUUUACCCCCGAGAAGUAACUUCAUACCGGGAACAGUUGAUGAAAUGUCCUGAGUUACAGGGAAUGGUCAUACAAAUAUGCAACAGUGUACUGUAGAGUACAUUACAGGAAGAAGGCCAAGAGAUUAUUUUAGCCCCCCUAACAGAAUUUAGCUUAAGCCGGUACCAAGAACGCCAUGGUGAUGGAACAGGGCCUUCCUAGGCUUCUGGGCUUGAAUUCGUCCUGUUGCACACAGUGCUGCGUUAGCUUAAUUAGUAUUAACUUAUCAGACACGGUUUCAGUCUCUGAGGGAUUUGUCUGCGUUCUCCUUUGGCUAAUAAAUAAAGAAAUAAACAAAUUUGCAUGGCCUGUGAUGACCAUAUUUUACAAUACAAUGAUUCUAAUAUGCUUAAACAUUAUUCGUACCUUACAUUUUUUCAUCGAUUUUUUCCCUUGUGUCUUCCCUUGUUUGUCCUUUUGCACUAGAAAAACAAAAGCAGAUCAGCACAUUUUGCCUCUCUCUCUCUCUCUCAUGCAUCAUUCUGUUUUUUUAAGGUUCUACAGUGUCACACUUUUAAUUGUUUUCUGUUUCCUAAUCCAAAUCUUUUUAUUGUAUUGAAAUUCUAGCAUUCAUGAGAUCUUUUAUAUCUUAACUACCAUCACGCCCCCCCAACACACACACACCAAAAAAAGUAGCCUUUAGUAAUUCUUAAAAACACACUGAGAAAAACACUCAGAUUUGAUUGUCUGUAGGAUGAAGCAUCCAGUCUCCAGUCUAAUUUUCUGCAGCUGGGAUAAAUAUCCACCCCCUCAACAAUGGCCCACCCCCUUUUUUAUGAUGUCACAUCCUGUCAGACAGCAUGUGGUUUUAAGAUUCAUUUUCUUUUUGGAGAAAGGAAUGAAUGUCCCCUGGGUCUCUGAACUGAAAAAUGGAUCUGCACAAAAAAAGAGCAAUUACACCACUGUAGAUAACAUCACUGCAGUCCCUAUUUUAAAUAUGUAGGCUAUAAGGUAAUAAUAUAGUAGUAUGUAUAUGUAUAUACCACCAGCCUGCAGACCACCAGCUGAUCAGCAUGAGCCAAUCCCAGCCAAGGACAGCCCAUUCCACGCAGCCGCUCCUGUGCAGUUAAGUAAAGAAUCCCUCUCGUCCCCAUAGCAAUGCUACGGCCAGUCACGCAAGACCUUGUGGAACUCCCCACCUCAGUCAUUACAGGAUAUGACUGAUGUUCACUUUUUGUGUGUGUGUGUGUGUGUGUGUGCGCAAAAUGUUCACUUCCAAGUGGCACAGGUCACAGUGUUGAAUUUGUACCGUCGUUGUUUUGUCUCCCCCCUCCCCGUUCAUAGAUUUAGUUGUUUAGUCCACUGUGAGAUGGGGGUAUGAG